CCUACGGGUGGCUGCAGUCGAGAAUCAUUCACAAUGGGGGAAACCCUGAUGGUGCGACGCCGCGUGGGGGAAUGAAGGUCUUCGGAUUGUAAACCCCUGUCAUGUGGGAGCAAAUUAAAAAGAUAGUACCACAAGAGGAAGAGCCGGCUAACUAUGUGCCAGCAGCCGCGGUAAUACAGAGGUCUCAAGCGUUGUUCGGAAUCACUGGGCGUAAAGCGUGCGUAGGCUGUUUCGUAAGUCGUGUGUGAAAGGCGCGGGCUCAACCCGCGGACGGCACAUGAUACUGCGAGACUAGAGUAAGGGAGGGGGAACCGGAAUGCUUGGUGUAGCAGUGAAAUGCGUAGAUAUCGAGAGGAACACUCGUGGCGAAGGCGGGUUCCUGGACAGUAACUGACGCUGAGGCACGAAGGCCAGGGGAGCGAAAGGGAUUAGAUACCCGGGUAGUC
RNAcentral lists this ribosomal RNA (446 nucleotides) under uncultured bacterium. RNAcentral describes it as "partial 16S ribosomal RNA". It matches the Rfam family "Bacterial small subunit ribosomal RNA", at positions 338 to 795 of the family's 1533-position model. The record is from RNAcentral.